UACUCUUGGCCAGCCUUCUGAAAGGAAGAUUAAUCCAGGAUGGGAUCAUGAGUUCACAUGUCCGCAUGAUUAAAGGUAUUUUCCGGUAGACGAUGGGGGUGCGUUCCAUUAGAUAGUAGGCGGGGUAACGGCCCACCUAGUCAACGAUGGAUAGGGGUUCUGAGAGGAAGGUCCCCCACAUUGGAACUGAGACACGGUCCAAACUCCUACGGGAGGCAGCAGUGAGGAAUAUUGGUCAAUGGGCGAUGGCCUGAACCAGCCAAGUAGCGUGAAGGAUGACUGCCCUAUGGGUUGUAAACUUCUUUUAUAAAGGAAUAAAGUCGGGUAUGCAUACCCGUUUGCAUGUACUUUAUGAAUAAGGAUCGGCUAACUCCGUGCCAGCAGCCGCGGUAAUACGGAGGAUCCGAGCGUUAUCCGGAUUUAUUGGGUUUAAAGGGAGCGUAGAUGGAUGUUUAAGUCAGUUGUGAAGUUUGCGGCUCAACCGUAAAUUGCAGUUGAUACUGGAUGUCUUGAGUGCAGUUGAGGCAGGCGGAAUUCGUGGUGUAGCGGUGAAUGCUCAGCUAUCACGAGAACUCCGAUUGCG
This 583-nucleotide ribosomal RNA is filed under the name uncultured Bacteroidales bacterium. RNAcentral's name for it is "bacterial SSU rRNA". It matches the Rfam family "Bacterial small subunit ribosomal RNA", at positions 134 to 717 of the family's 1533-position model. Lineage: Bacteria; Pseudomonadati; Bacteroidota; Bacteroidia; Bacteroidales. The record is from RNAcentral.